GAAUUCGCCCUUAGAGUUUGAUCCUGGCUCAGGACGAACGCUGGCGGCGUGCUUAACACAUGCAAGUCGAACGAAGCUUGAUGAUUGAUUUCUUCGGAAAGAAAUUUGAUAUGACUGAGUGGCGGACGGGUGAGUAACGCGUGAGCAACCUGCCCUUCAGAGGGGGAUAGCGUCUGGAAACGGACGGUAAUACCGCAUAACGUACAAAGGCCGCAUGACCAUUGUACCAAAACUGAGGUGCUGAAGGAUGGGCUCGCGUUGGAUUAGAUAGUUGGUGGGGUAACGGCCUACCAAGUCGACGAUCCAUAGCCGGACUGAGAGGUUGAACGGCCACAUUGGGACUGAGACACGGCCCAGACUCCUACGGGAGGCAGCAGUGGGGAAUAUUGCACAAUGGGGGAAACCCUGAUGCAGCAACGCCGCGUGAAGGAAGACGGUUUUCGGAUUGUAAACUUCUGUUCUUAGUGAAGAUAGUGACGGUAGCUAAGGAGCAAGCCACGGCUAACUACGUGCCAGCAGCCGCGGUAAUACGUAGGUGGCAAGCGUUGUCCGGAAUUACUGGGUGUAAAGGGAGCGCAGGCGGGGAGCCAAGUCAGCUGUGAAAACUACAGGCUUAACUUGUAGACUGCAGUUGAAACUGGUUUUCUUGAGUGAAGUAGAGGUUGGCGGAAUUCCGAGUGUAGCGGUGAAAUGCGUAGAUAUUCGGAGGAACACCGGUGGCGAAGGCGGCCAACUGGGCUUUAACUGACGCUGAGGCUCGAAAGUGUGGGGAGCAAACAGGAUUAGAUACCCUGGUAGUCCACACUGUAAACGAUGA
RNAcentral lists this ribosomal RNA (817 nucleotides) under uncultured bacterium. RNAcentral describes it as "bacterial SSU rRNA". It matches the Rfam family "Bacterial small subunit ribosomal RNA", at positions 1 to 812 of the family's 1533-position model. The record is from RNAcentral.